RNAcentral lists this ribosomal RNA (181 nucleotides) under Staphylococcus aureus. Its description in RNAcentral is "partial 16S ribosomal RNA". It matches the Rfam family "Bacterial small subunit ribosomal RNA", at positions 327 to 500 of the family's 1533-position model. The record is from RNAcentral. Lineage: Bacteria; Bacillati; Bacillota; Bacilli; Caryophanales; Staphylococcaceae.
CGGUCCAGACUCCUACGGGAGGCAGCAGUAGGGAAUCUUCCGCAAUGGGCGAAAGCCUGACGGAGCAACGCCGCGUGAGUGAUGAAGGUCUUCGGAUCGUAAAACUCUGUUAUUAGGGAAGAACAAAUGUGUAAGUAACUGUGCACAUCUUGACGGUACCUAAUCAGAAAGCCACGGCUAA